GCCUAGGACAUGAAGGGAAGACCAGACAGGAUCUUAGCGUCUAUAGCAAGAGAGACAGGUUGUAGGAUUUUGCCUGAAGAUAGCUUAGUGAUAUUGUGAGGUCUUCUGUCUCAGCCCCUGGGUCUCUGCUGAAGACCUUAAGAGCAAUGUUACCUAGAGAGGGGUAGGUUUGAGAUGUUGCUUGGAAUUUGAGCAACCCAUGAUUUCUUAGGCCGCCCACCAUGAGCCCAGGCUGGAG
This 238-nucleotide long non-coding RNA is filed under the name Homo sapiens (human). Its description in RNAcentral is "HSALNT0240733". Lineage: Eukaryota; Metazoa; Chordata; Mammalia; Primates; Hominidae. The record is from RNAcentral.